This is a small nucleolar RNA of Ornithorhynchus anatinus (platypus), 138 nucleotides long. The record is from RefSeq and is a predicted model, not a curated record. Lineage: Eukaryota; Metazoa; Chordata; Mammalia; Monotremata; Ornithorhynchidae.
CCUUUCUUAGGGUCGCACCUGGAGAGUUUCCAGUAUUCUACCAGUCUCAACUAAGGGAGGGAGAGUCAAGUAGAAGCAUAUCCAUUCCAUUACUAGUUUAGGCAGUGGCUGGUGAGUGGAAGAUAAUCUGCUACAAGU